GACGAACGCUGGCGGCGUGCUUAACACAUGCAAGUCGAACGCUGAAGCUCAGCUUUUGUUGGGUGGAUGAGUGGCGAACGGGUGAGUAACACGUGAGUAACCUGCCUCCUUCUUUGGGAUAACGCCCGGAAACGGGUGCUAAUACUGGAUAUUCACUGGUCUUCGCAUGGGGGUUGGUGGAAAGGGUUUUUCUGGUGGGGGAUGGGCUCGCGGCCUAUCAGCUUGUUGGUGGGGUGAUGGCCUACCAAGGCUUUGACGGGUAGCCGGCCUGAGAGGGUGACCGGUCACAUUGGGACUGAGAUACGGCCCAGACUCCUACGGGAGGCAGCAGUGGGGAAUAUUGCACAAUGGGCGCAAGCCUGAUGCAGCGACGCCGCGUGAGGGAUGGAGGCCUUCGGGUUGUGAACCUCUUUCGCUCAUGGUCAAGCCGCAACAAUGGUUGGGGUGAGGGUAGUGGGUAAAGAAGCGCCGGCUAACUACGUG
RNAcentral lists this ribosomal RNA (483 nucleotides) under uncultured bacterium. RNAcentral describes it as "partial 16S ribosomal RNA". It matches the Rfam family "Bacterial small subunit ribosomal RNA", at positions 28 to 507 of the family's 1533-position model. The record is from RNAcentral.